UCAAUCUAUUAUCCAACUAUAGCUAAAAUCAGUAAUAACUGCAGAUGGACACAAUGGUUUGAAACAAAAUAUAUACUGCAAUACUCUCUCUUACGAAGAUGUUUGUAAAGUCCAGCCAACUUCUUUAAAUUCACUCGAUACAUGUUAUCCAAUGAGAAAAGGAAAUUACCAAUGUAAAAAACAAACAAAAUUGACAACCUGUUGUACUGAUUCACCACUGAAAUUCACAAACUACUAAUUGUUCCUGGUCUGUCUUCAUCAUAGAAAAUAUAUACAACGUUUUCUAUAUGCGCAAAAAGCGAAUUUGAAGCCUAUCAAAAUUCGUAUAGGCAGUUCACCACAAGGCUUACCAGGUCCUCAUUAUAUCGGAAAAGAAUAUCCCCUGAGGUAUUUAGAAUCCACACCUGACUCUCGCACCAAUGCUAUUCGCCCUGUUCUUGCCACCUCACAAAUGCCAUAGGGUUCUAACAACCUCUGCAGUGCAACCAUCUUGUCCAAAUCUCCAGUAAGCUCAAGGGUUAUUGUGUGGUCAGAUACAUCAACUGCUUUUGCCCUAAAAAUGCUAGCAAUGUCAAGGACAUCUCGUCUAGCAGCAGCAUUCACAGCAAUCUUUAUCAACAUCAAUUCCCGUUCAGCAAAUGGCAAGUGAGUAAGAUCCUGAACCUCAUGAAGGUCUAUCAGCUUAUAAAGUUGCUGCACCAACUUGCUUAUUGAUUCAUCUGUUCCAGGAACAACAGUUGUUAUUCGAGAAAGGCCCUCAGUUUCUCCAUGCCCAACGGCCAAACUCUGAAUGUUAUAGCCUCUUCGAGCAAAUACUCCUGUAACAAUGUUAAGAACUCCAGGAGAGUCGGUCACCAGCAUGGAGAGAGUGUGAGAUCGAAGUCCAGUUGUAUCAUCUUCAUCGAGAACACCCCAAUGAGCAUCAAGAACUUGAGUGCCUGUAAAGCUAUCAGAUGGUUCCACUGGAUAAACAUCCCCCCCUGCAGAUGUUUCUUCGCCUAUGACUGCUCUGCUUUUAGACCCCAAAAGAGCAUCAUUAGGCCUUAUUUCUCCAAGAUCAGGAUAUGAAGCAGCUGAAAAUCGCCAAAAGGGAGCACAUGCACCCAUUUUUUCCCUUCUCAAUGCAAUCUUUCCAGUUCUUGCAAUUUCUUUGAUUCCAAACUUGCUUAGGUUUCUCUGAACAGCAACCAUCUUCCCAGGAUCUCCAGUUACCUCAAUUGUUAAAGAGUGCUCUGAGAUAUCCACAAUUUUUGCUCUGAAAAUGUCCACCAACCACAUGAUCUCAGGACGGUAAUUACGGUCUGCAUUCACUUUUAUAAGCAUUAGCUCACGUUCUACCUGUGGCUCACUGGAGAGAUCUUCAACCUUCAAAACAUUGACUAGUUUCUGAAGUUGCUCUACAACUUGUUGCAGCACCCUUUCAGUUCCAGAGACGACUAUGGUGAAGAGUGCCUUGUCCUUGUUCAGACCAACAGCAAGGGACUCAAUGUUAUACCCCCUCCUCGCAAAAACCCCAGCAAUCCGAUUAAUCAUCCCACUUUCAUCCCCCACAAACACGGAGAUUGUAUGCCUCCUCACCUUUGAAAUGGACAUUGACGGAGCAGGGCCAUUAGCGGAGAAAGCCGUGUUAGAGAUGUUGCUAUGAUUAUCAGCGGACGUAGCAGAUACUGCGAGUUUCCUUUGAGGCUGAUAGUCGUCAGAGGUGGAUUUUAAGAAUGUUAAAUAUGCAGGUUUUGUACUUGAGAAUCCAACGCGAAGAGAAGAGUUCCAAGCAAAAGACCGAGAAGGAGAAAGGUUUAGGGGUUGAAUCGUUAUGGAACAUGCUGGAGAUACGACCGCCAUGACAGAGAAGAAUACUGAGCUCGAGAAAUGAAGGAGAGAAGAAGAUGCAAAAAAGGCUUUAUCGCAUUUAGCUCUCGUUGGUGACGUGU
RNAcentral lists this unclassified non-coding RNA (1931 nucleotides) under Hevea brasiliensis (rubber tree). The record is from RNAcentral. Lineage: Eukaryota; Viridiplantae; Streptophyta; Magnoliopsida; Malpighiales; Euphorbiaceae.